GCUUGUUGGUGAGGUAGUGGCUCACCAAGGCGACGACGGGUAGCCGGCCUGAGAGGGCGACCGGCCACACUGGGACUGAGACACGGCCCAGACUCCUACGGGAGGCAGCAGUGGGGAAUAUUGCACAAUGGGCGAAAGCCUGAUGCAGCGACGCCGCGUGAGGGAUGACGGCCUUCGGGUUGUAAACCUCUUUCAGCAGGGAAGAAGCGAGAGUGACGGUACCUGCAGAAGAAGCGCCGGCUAACUACGUGCCAGCAGCCGCGGUAAUACGUAGGGCGCGAGCGUUGUCCGGAAUUAUUGGGCGUAAAGAGCUCGUAGGCGGCUUGUCACGUCGGAUGUGAAAGCCCGGGGCUUAACCCCGGGUCUGCAUUCGAUACGGGCAGGCUAGAGUUCGGUAGGGGAGAUCGGAAUUCCUGGUGUAGCGGUGAAAUGCGCAGAUAUCAGGAGGAACACCGGUGGCGAAGGCGGAUCUCUGGGCCGAUACUGACGCUGAGGAGCGAAAGCGUGGGGAGCGAACAGGAUUAGAUACCCUGGUAGUCCACGCCGUAAACGUUGGGAACUAGGUGUGGGCGACA
This 575-nucleotide ribosomal RNA is filed under the name Streptomyces sp. RNAcentral's name for it is "bacterial SSU rRNA". It matches the Rfam family "Bacterial small subunit ribosomal RNA", at positions 244 to 831 of the family's 1533-position model. The record is from RNAcentral. Lineage: Bacteria; Bacillati; Actinomycetota; Actinomycetes; Kitasatosporales; Streptomycetaceae.